AGUGAACGCUGGCGGUAGGCCUAACACAUGCAAGUCGAACGGCAGCACAGUAAGAGCUUGCUCUUACGGGUGGCGAGUGGCGGACGGGUGAGGAAUACAUCGGAAUCUACUUUUUCGUGGGGGAUAACGUAGGGAAACUUACGCUAAUACCGCAUACGACCUACGGGUGAAAGCAGGGGAUCUUCGGACCUUGCGCGAUUGAAUGAGCCGAUGUCGGAUUAGCUAGUUGGCGGGUUAAAGGCCCACCAAGGCGACGAUCCGUAGCUGGUCUGAGAGGAUGAUCAGCCACACUGGAACUGAGGCACGGUCCAGACUCCUACGGGAGGCAGCAGUGGGGAAUAUUGGACAAUGGGCGCAAGCCUGAUCCAGCCAUACCGCGUGGGUGAAGAAGGCCUUCGGGUUGUAAAGCCCUUUUGUUGGGAAAGAAAAGCAGCAGGUUAAUACCCCGCUGUUCUGACGGUACCCAAAGAAUAAGCACCGGCUAACUUCGUG
This 492-nucleotide ribosomal RNA is filed under the name uncultured bacterium. RNAcentral's name for it is "partial 16S ribosomal RNA". It matches the Rfam family "Bacterial small subunit ribosomal RNA", at positions 29 to 507 of the family's 1533-position model. The record is from RNAcentral.